This 252-nucleotide ribosomal RNA is filed under the name uncultured microorganism. RNAcentral's name for it is "partial 16S ribosomal RNA". It matches the Rfam family "Bacterial small subunit ribosomal RNA", at positions 524 to 776 of the family's 1533-position model. The record is from RNAcentral.
UACGUAGGUCCCGAGCGUUGUCCGGAUUUAUUGGGUGUAAAGCGAGCGCAGGUGGUUUAAUAAGUCUGAUGUAAAAGGCAGUGGCUCAACCAUUGUGUGCAUUGGAAACUGUUAGACUUGAGUGCAGUAGAGGAGAGUGGAAUUCCAUGUGUAGCGGUGAAAUGCGUAGAUAUAUGGAGGAACACCGGUGGCGAAAGCGGCUCUCUGGACUGUAACUGACACUGAGGCUCGAAAGCGUGGGGAGCAAACAGG